GCUGAGCGCACGGAGCGGUGAAUCCUUUGCGGUGUUUGCGGUGCGCUAAUUACAUUUCCCGAGUCGCGAAGGGAAGUAGGAGCAUUAACACCGGCUGCUUCCAAUAAUUCCGGAGGUGUUCGCGAUGGGAAAUUGAAUACAGCCGGCUGCUUCCAAAAUUCCGGAUUAAGGGAGGUGUUCGGAGGGAGGUGUUGAAUAGAGGUAAGUAUUGAAUAGUUUGUUUUUUUUUUUCUUUAUUAAAGAGA
Molecule: long non-coding RNA, 245 nt
Organism: Ochlerotatus camptorhynchus
Lineage: Eukaryota; Metazoa; Arthropoda; Insecta; Diptera; Culicidae
Exons: 3
Source: RefSeq, a predicted model, not a curated record